UACGAAGGGGGCUAGCGUUGCUCGGAAUUACUGGGCGUAAAGGGCGCGUAGGCGGCCUGGCAAGUCAAAGGUGAAAUCCCUCGGCCCAACCGAGGAACUGCCUUUGAAACUGCAAGGCUUGAGGCCGGGAGAGGGUAGCGGAAUUCCCAGUGUAGCGGUGAAAUGCGUAGAUAUUGGGAGGAACACCAGUGGCGAAGGCGGCUACCUGGACCGGUUCUGACGCUGAGGCGCGAAAGCGUGGGGAGCAAACAGG
This 253-nucleotide ribosomal RNA is filed under the name uncultured bacterium. RNAcentral describes it as "partial 16S ribosomal RNA". It matches the Rfam family "Bacterial small subunit ribosomal RNA", at positions 524 to 776 of the family's 1533-position model. The record is from RNAcentral.